GGUUGGAUGCAAUGAACAGUUGCAUUGAGAUUACAGUUUGGCCCUUGCUUGAUCCAAAAGUAACGCCAAACCAACCACAGCGAGUUGGAUUUGGUCCAUGUGGAUGCGGAUGUGACAAUGAACCGCUGAGAUUGAGGUAGAAAACAACGGUAGAUUUUGGCUACGGGUCAAGCUAGGUUGAGUUUAGUUGGUCUCCAGUUCAGCUGCAAGGCUACAGCAAAUCUACUCAAUGCUGGUUUGGGAUUCGGAUGCGUCACUGCCUAGUUCCCAGAUUUUGUUCUAGAAAAAGAAAAAAGAAGGCAUGAAAAAAAAAUGAAAAACAAUAAAAAAAAAGAAACAAAAAUGAUUAUAUGGAGACUCACAAAUAUUUCAAGUACGAAUGUGUCCUUGUAGAUUCUGUACUGUGAACUGAAAGUACGGGAAAGUCUCUCCCCUCAGUUCUGUUCAGUUGCUGAGCUGAACCUUUCUGAGUCAAAAACUAGAACUCUAAUGAGAGAUCUUUGCCUCCAUUCAGACAACAGCAAAACAAACCCACCCUUUAUUUGUCUCUUAUUGUUCCUUGAUGAUUUUGUUCGCUAGCCAUACGCUGCCUGAUGGCUCUCUUGUCUUUGCAGCCAAAUAACCCAAAGCGCAUGAAAGGCAUCCUCAGCUUGUAAACCUUAGCAUAUAGCAAGUCAAUCUUUCUUAGUGGCAGACCUCUCUCUCUCUCGCUUCGCAUAUGUUGGCACACGAGGAGCAGCCCUGGUUGACCUGAGGGAAUUAACAAGGGUAAUGCUCAAUGAGCCUUGUGUUUGGAGUCCAUAACAAGUUUGAGGGCGUUGGCACCGGCCACCCACCAACUGUGCCAGCAAUACUGAGAGAUGGAGAAUCAAUGCGUAGUGAGGAAAAGAGCGCUUCUCACGGCUCGUCACUCUCCACCCACUCUUGGCACCAUGUACCCCAGCUUGCAUUUGCAUAUGCUUUCCGCUCCUCAAAAGGAGGCCUCUUAUUUGGACUCUUUUGGCUCCAUUAACUAUGCUUUCUUUUGCUUUACCUCCAUUUCCCUAUUAUUAUAUUCUCUUAAUUAAUAUAUAAUCUUUCUGGU
Theobroma cacao (cacao) is the source of this 1084-nucleotide long non-coding RNA. RefSeq lists it as uncharacterized. Lineage: Eukaryota; Viridiplantae; Streptophyta; Magnoliopsida; Malvales; Malvaceae. The record is from RefSeq and is a predicted model, not a curated record.